AACAGCUUCAGUGUACAGCGUGGCUCCUUUGAGAAAAUUUUAUUCACAGUUAGUACAAUCGUCUCUCCUGUGUGUGCCUAUGUGUGUUAGGAGUGGUUUGAGUAUUCUCAAUGUGAAGGGGAAAUGUGCGAGCAUCCUAGGAUCAGGCAUUGUGAAGACAAGCUUUGUUCUUUAUGCAGGUAGACAUACUGUACGUCAACACACUAUGUUCUUAAGAAACACUCAUGGAAGAUAAGACUUUGUUUUCUUACUUGAAAGAAGGCACUGCUUAACACAUGUAAGUAUCAUGUUUUCCAAUCCUAGUUCAGCUCUAUUCCUCAUAGACUGUUUUCUUAAAAUUAUAUCU
This 346-nucleotide long non-coding RNA is filed under the name Mus spicilegus (steppe mouse). RNAcentral's name for it is "lncRNA (ENSMSIG00000031107.1)". The record is from RNAcentral. Lineage: Eukaryota; Metazoa; Chordata; Mammalia; Rodentia; Muridae.